CAAUAGCGUAUAUUAAAGUUGUUGCAGUUAAAAAGCUCGUAGUUGGAUUUGUGGCGUACGGUGUGUUCCGGGCACUUGUUGUCUGAGUAACCUGCUGUUGCCAUCCUUGGGUGGAACCUGUGUGGCAUUAGGUUGUCGUGCAGGGGAUGCCCAUCAUUUACUGUGAAAAAAUUAGAGUGUUCAAAGCAGGCUUAUGCCGUUGAAUAUAUUAGCAUGGAAUAAUGAGAUAGGACUUUUUUGCUAUUUUGUUGGUUUGCGCAAAGAGGUAAUGAUUAAUAGGGACAGUCGGGGGUAUUCGUAUUCCAUUGUCAGAGGUGAAAUUCUUGGAUUUUUGGAAGACGAACUACUGCGAAAGCAUUUACCAAGGAUGUUUUCAUUAA
RNAcentral lists this ribosomal RNA (380 nucleotides) under uncultured eukaryote. RNAcentral's name for it is "partial 18S ribosomal RNA". It matches the Rfam family "Eukaryotic small subunit ribosomal RNA", at positions 592 to 976 of the family's 1831-position model. The record is from RNAcentral.